This 278-nucleotide ribosomal RNA is filed under the name Clostridioides difficile. RNAcentral's name for it is "partial 23S ribosomal RNA". It matches the Rfam family "Bacterial large subunit ribosomal RNA", at positions 1607 to 1898 of the family's 2925-position model. Lineage: Bacteria; Bacillati; Bacillota; Clostridia; Peptostreptococcales; Peptostreptococcaceae. The record is from RNAcentral.
GCAAAGAAUAGGCUUAAUAGAGGUUAAAGUGACCCGUACCGCAAACCGAAACAGGUGGGGGGGGGGAGUAUCCUAAGGCGAGCGAGAGAACGGUUGUUAAGGAACUCGGCACAAUGACCCCGUAACUUAGGGAUAAGGGGUGCCACCAGCAGGUGGCUGCAGAGAAUAGGCCCAAGCGACUGUUUACCAAAAACAUAGGUUUCUGCUAAGUCGAAAGACGAUGUAUAGGAGCUGACGCCUGCCCGGUGCUGGAAGGUUAAGGGGAUCUGUUAGAGCAA